Long non-coding RNA from Cydia pomonella (codling moth), 2412 nucleotides. RefSeq lists it as uncharacterized. The record is from RefSeq and is a predicted model, not a curated record. The transcript is spliced from 5 exons. Lineage: Eukaryota; Metazoa; Arthropoda; Insecta; Lepidoptera; Tortricidae.
CUGAACUAGAACAUUUUACAUUCCAAGUAUUUUUUUACGAUAAGUAAUUAAAUUUUGGUUUUAAUUGUAUUUAAUACUUUGAUCUAAAUUGUUAUUAAAAGUACUGUGUAAGUUUAUACUUAGUCACGUUUUUUAAAUACACAUGUAUUUUACUUUUCUCGUAUUCGAUAUGAAAAGUAGAGUGUUUAACUCGGGCUUUAAAUACGACUAAAACUGUACGGUUAUUACAAGACAGUGUAGGUACACUGAGGGCUUACCGCGAACCACAUUCGACGUGUUGCCUCCUUGUCACACUUACGUACAAAUUUACAAAUGCGAAAGAGAAGCAACACGUCUAACGUUGUUCGUGGUAGGUCUCUGGAGGCCUACCGCGAAAAUCGAAGUUCGUCAAUUGCGGGCAUUUUUCUCUGUCAUGAAAAAAUCGAUUUUCCCGGUAGGCCCCCUGGACUCUACAAGUAGGUAGCACGUGAACUACCGGCUGUUGACUCAAAAAUGGUGGUUAAACGCGUUUCAAGAUAAAUUCUCCAUUCCCAGCACACUACCACAUUAGUUUACUGUAUAAUCUUCUUCUUCCUCGCGUUGUCCCGUCUUUUUGCCACGGCUCAUGGGAGCCUACUACCAUACGUAAGAACUAGUAGUACAUUAAUGAGCAUAAACAAGUCCACACAUGAGCGUUUCAAAUUACAGUCAAAGCUAAUCUAGAUAUCAGUCCGGUUUCCUUUGUAACAUGCCAAACCUCCAUGGUGCACUCACCGAGCGCACUAGCCGGUGGUAAAAAAAACUAAGCCUAUUCCGCUUGUCUUUUGUUUGCAAUAGUGAUUUUUUCACUUAGAGGAUUUAACAACUAGAGACGCCAUGUCUGUAAUUUUCUGUACAAAACAGUAUGCCGAUAUUUGCGGGGGACGGGUACGUCAAAUGUAUUGACAUUGCUAUUUGUACGUUACGUUCAAAUAGCCACGUCAGAUAAACGUCAGUCCAUACAAUACAUAUGACCAUUGGCCGAGGUUUUCGGCAGAGGGGUAAGCUCUUAAAGUAGGCGACUCCGGUUGUUAAAUUCUCCAAGCUUUUCAAAGAUUUUCCUCUUGAAUUAAUUUUUAUCGCACAACUGAUUAUUUAUUAAAUGUUAUUCGAGCCUAAUGAUUGAUUUGUGUUAAAAGUUAAUACUUAAGUUCGUAUGUGGGCUCCCUCUAACGCAGCCCUUAUUUCUUCUGUUAAUCUAGAGACGCAGGACUGCAGCUGCUCGUUUAACUGAUUUUGACAGCUGAAGUAUUCCCUGCGUGUACUGUGUGAGAUGCGACGUUGGACAUACAGUAGCACCCGAGGCCAAAAUUCAUCGUUCGGAUCCAUGGAUGAAGAUCAAGAUACGGACGCAGGUAAAGCUCGCCCCUCAAAACGUAUAUAGCAAGAUUUCCUCCGUGCCGGCCAACCAUCACCGAAACGAUCAUGUAGUGCAGCUGCGCUUGAUUCUCGGACUGCUCUAAGCUAAGCACACGGUAUAAUGAUCGCGUGGGAUGCGGCUUAGGAAUUCGGAAGGCGUAAAAUCUUUGAAGAGUCGCUUUAUACCUACUGCCUAACGUAGAAAGCUUAAAUGACUAUACAGUAUGUAACUGAGCGUAAAGAAAUCGCGAGAAAAGAUUUCGCUGUUUCAUACAUAUCUACUGUUGAAAUUUUCUAUGGGAGAGUCAAAUUUUUUUCGCGAUUUCUUGAUAAUUAUAAUUUGUUUUUAAUUUAUUUACUUAUAGUAAAUGAAAACAAUAAAAUGAUAUGCAAAGUUUUCUAAAUUUCUAUUUACAGUUAAUUGUUUUCAUGUCAAAUGCAAUCUCUUAAAAUAUCGGUAGCUAAUUUGUUAGCAACUUAUAUUACUUAUCAAAGAGAAUUUGAAAUAGAGGGGGAUUGUCAAAGAAAAUUUUGUAGCCACAGUAAAUUUACUGCCAUCUUUCGACACAUGAUUCAAACUUUUAGAACGCCAAGUGACUUUGAUCUUUAUUCUUUCACUGAUAAGUGGUAAAAUUGUUAAAUAUCAAAAUCGGCUAAAGGUUGCGGCGCCAUCGCUCGAAACGAUGCCACCAUACCUUUGGCCUUUGAUCUAUUAGAUGUCGCUAAUUUUUGAUAUUUAACAAAUUUAACACAUAUCAGUGAAAGAAUAAGGAUCAAAGUUAAAUGGCGUUCUAAAAAUGGCAGUAAAUUUAACGUGGCUGCUAAGUCCAUCUCUAUUCACUUUGACCUUAUAUACUAGUAGAAUAUUACGUUUCUUAAUUUAAGACCAGUCCAAUAGAUUUUGCCUUACGUAGAGCAAAAAUAAAUCGAUUGAGAUCAAAGUAUUUAUAUUGAAACGAUUACCUACCCGUACCGUAUAGCCACUUAUAUGUAUUUUCUUUGUCGACAUUUUCCCAUAUUAUAUAAAGAUUUCUU